GACCCGUCUUGAAACACGGACCAAGGAGUCUAACAUGUGCGCGAGUCACGGGGUCUUGUACAGGCCCAGAGGCGCAAUGAAAGUGAAGGCCGGACUCGUUUCCGGCUGUGUUGGGACUCUCUGCGCUUGUCGUGGGGAAGCACCAACGACCCGUCCUAUCCUACUCUUAGGUGGGGCGGAGUUAGAGCGCACACGUUGGGACCCGAAAGAUGGUGAACUAUGCCUGGGCAGGACGAAGCCAGAGGAAACUCUGGUGGAGGUCCGUAGCGGUUCUGACGUCCAAAUCGAUCGUCAGACCCGGGUAUAGGGGCGAAAGACUAAUCGAACCAUCUAGUAGCUGGUUCCUUCCGA
This 351-nucleotide ribosomal RNA is filed under the name Liphistius bristowei. RNAcentral describes it as "eukaryotic LSU rRNA". It matches the Rfam family "Eukaryotic large subunit ribosomal RNA", at positions 646 to 964 of the family's 3401-position model. The record is from RNAcentral. Lineage: Eukaryota; Metazoa; Arthropoda; Arachnida; Araneae; Liphistiidae.